This 846-nucleotide long non-coding RNA is filed under the name Medicago truncatula (barrel medic). Its description in RNAcentral is "long non-coding RNA (MTRU_LNC007917)". The record is from RNAcentral. Lineage: Eukaryota; Viridiplantae; Streptophyta; Magnoliopsida; Fabales; Fabaceae.
CCAAACAUUCAUGGCAUAAUCCAAAAAAUUCAUGAAAAAAUCCAACAAUAACACAAUUCUUUAACAAAUAAUCUUCUAAUAAGCAACACAUUUCUUUAACAAACUCAUUUAUCUUUCCAAAUUCAUCAUCUUCCCUCUAUCAACAACACAAACACAUCUUAAAAAAUAAAAAAAAAUCUGGAAACGCAAUAACAAAAAACAGUUCAUCAUCUUCCCCUUCAAUUAAAACCCAUUUAUCUUUAGAUUCUUCAUAUUCCAACAAUAACAGCCCAACACCAGCAACAUCCCUCAAAUCCCCAAGCCCCAAAUUCAAAAACCCAUUUUCAGAUCAACAAAAACAUAAAUUUGGAUAGCCCUAGAUCCAAAUUUAUUUUCAGAAAAUUUGCAAAACAAGGUUCCAAUUUGAAACCCAUAAAUUCAUCUAAAGAAGAACAGAUCUAGAAUGGAAGAGGGAGAUCACUAGCCAUCAAUUUGUGGUGGCAGGGAACCAAAUUUAAGACCUUCUGCAUCAGACUUGUUACUGGUAUUUUGCACAUCUUCCUCCCCUUCAGCCAACUUACUAAUAUUCAAUUAUAAUUACAGACAUUGAAUUUGUUUGCUCUUUUAACUUAAUUUUCCUUCAAAAUCAUUAUAGUGAUUCUGCCUAUUGUCUGCAGCAUCCAUUCAUCACUUGCGAGUAUCAGGAAUCUUGUUCAAUAUCACGCGAAUAAGGGUUCCAAUCGAGUUUGUGUGUGAAGGAGAUUGAGCGGAAUUUUUUUUGGGAAUUGUGAGAGAAGAAGACGACGAGGGCAAGGAAGAGGAAGAAGAUAGAGAAAAAAAACUGGGAUGUAAGAGGAUGAAGAAGGG